GAUGAACGCUGGCGGCGUGCUUAACACAUGCAAGUCGAACGGAGCCAAGGAGUGCUUGCAUUCCUGAAGCUUAGUGGCGGACGGGUGAGUAACGCGUGGGGAAUCUGCCCCGUACCGGGGGAUAACACUUAGAAAUAGGUGCUAAUACCGCAUAAGCGCACGGUACCGCAUGGUACAGUGUGAAAAACUCCGGUGGUACGGGAUGACCCCGCGUCUGAUUAGCCAGUUGGCAGGGUAACGGCCUACCAAAGCGACGAUCAGUAGCCGGCCUGAGAGGGUGAACGGCCACAUUGGGACUGAGACACGGCCCAAACUCCUACGGGAGGCAGCAGUGGGGAAUAUUGCACAAUGGGCGAAAGCCUGAUGCAGCGACGCCGCGUGAGUGAAGAAGUAUCUCGGUAUGUAAAGCUCUAUCAGCAGGGAAGCAAAUGACGGUACCUGACUAAGAAGCCCCGGCUAACUACGUGCCAGCAGCCGCGGUAAUACGUAGGGGGCAAGCGUUAUCCGGAUUUACUGGGUGUAAAGGGUGCGUAGACGGUGUGGCAAGUCUGAAGUGAAAGGCAUGAGCUCAACUCAUGGACUGCUUUGGAAACUGUCAUACUUGAGUGCAGGAGGGGUAAGCGGAAUUCCCAGUGUAGCGGUGAAAUGCUUAGAUAUUGGGAGGAACACCGGCGGCGAAGGCGGCUUACUGGACUGCAACUGACGUUGAGGCACGAAAGCGUGGGGAGCAAACA
This 734-nucleotide ribosomal RNA is filed under the name uncultured bacterium. RNAcentral's name for it is "bacterial SSU rRNA". It matches the Rfam family "Bacterial small subunit ribosomal RNA", at positions 28 to 774 of the family's 1533-position model. The record is from RNAcentral.